RNAcentral lists this ribosomal RNA (607 nucleotides) under uncultured Staphylococcus sp. RNAcentral's name for it is "bacterial SSU rRNA". It matches the Rfam family "Bacterial small subunit ribosomal RNA", at positions 110 to 704 of the family's 1533-position model. Lineage: Bacteria; Bacillati; Bacillota; Bacilli; Caryophanales; Staphylococcaceae. The record is from RNAcentral.
GUAACACGUGGGUAACCUACCUAUAAGACUGGGAUAACUUCGGGAAACCGGAGCUAAUACCGGAUAACAUUUGGAACCGCAUGGUUCUAAAGUGAAAGAUGGUUUUGCUAUCACUUAUAGAUGGACCCGCGCCGUAUUAGCUAGUUGGUAAGGUAACGGCUUACCAAGGCAACGAUACGUAGCCGACCUGAGAGGGUGAUCGGCCACACUGGAACUGAGACACGGUCCAGACUCCUACGGGAGGCAGCAGUACGGAAUCUUCCGCAAUGGGCGAAAGCCUGACGGAGCAACGCCGCGUGAGUGAUGAAGGGUUUCGGCUCGUAAAACUCUGUUAUUAGGGAAGAACAAAUGUGUAAGUAACUGUGCACGUCUUGACGGUACCUAAUCAGAAAGCCACGGCCAACUACGUGCCAGCAGCCGCGGUAAUACGUAGGUGGCAAGCGUUAUCCGGAAUUAUUGGGCGUAAAGCGCGCGUAGGCGGUUUCUUAAGUCUGAUGUGAAAGCCCACGGCUCAACCGUGGAGGGUCAUUGGAAACUGGGAAACUUGAGUGCAGAAGAGGAAAGUGGAAUUCCAUGUGUAGCGGUGAAAUGCGCAGAGAUAUGGAGG